GUGAGUAACACGUGGGCAACCUGCCUGUAAGACUGGGAUAACUUCGGGAAACCGAAGCUAAUACCGGAUAGGAUCUUCUCCUUCAUGGGAGAUGAUUGAAAGAUGGUUUCGGCUAUCACUUACAGAUGGGCCCGCGGUGCAUUAGCUAGUUGGUGAGGUAACGGCUCACCAAGGCAACGAUGCAUAGCCGACCUGAGAGGGUGAUCGGCCACACUGGGACUGAGACACGGCCCAGACUCCUACGGGAGGCAGCAGUAGGGAAUCUUCCGCAAUGGACGAAAGUCUGACGGAGCAACGCCGCGUGAGUGAUGAAGGCUUUCGGGUCGUAAAACUCUGUUGUUAGGGAAGAACAAGUACAAGAGUAACUGCUUGUACCUUGACGGUACCUAACCAGAAAGCCACGGCUAACUACGUGCCAGCAGCCGCGGUAAUACGUAGGUGGCAAGCGUUAUCCGGAAUUAUUGGGCGUAAAGCGCGCGCAGGCGGUUUCUUAAGUCUGAUGUGAAAGCCCACGGCUCAACCGUGGAGGGUCAUUGGAAACUGGGGAACUUGAGUGCAGAAUAGAAAAGCGGAAUUCCACGUGUAGCGGUGAAAUGCGUAUAGAUGUGGAGGAACACCACUGUCGAAAGCGGCUUUUUUCCCCUGUAUCUGACGCUGAUGCGCCAAAUACUGACGAGCAAACCGCAUUAGAUACUCGGGGUACCCCACGCCCCUCUACGAUGAUUGCCUGC
RNAcentral lists this ribosomal RNA (731 nucleotides) under Bacillus sp. (in: firmicutes). Its description in RNAcentral is "bacterial SSU rRNA". It matches the Rfam family "Bacterial small subunit ribosomal RNA", at positions 106 to 820 of the family's 1533-position model. The record is from RNAcentral. Lineage: Bacteria; Bacillati; Bacillota; Bacilli; Caryophanales; Bacillaceae.